Unclassified non-coding RNA from Erinaceus europaeus (western European hedgehog), 328 nucleotides. Its record names the gene 7SK. It matches the Rfam family "7SK RNA". Rfam says of the family: 7SK was discovered as an abundant small nuclear RNA in the mid-70s but a possible function has only recently been suggested. Two independent studies have found that 7SK RNA binds the CDK9/cyclin T complex (known as elongation factor P-TEFb). The record is from Ensembl. Lineage: Eukaryota; Metazoa; Chordata; Mammalia; Eulipotyphla; Erinaceidae.
GGAUGUGAGGGCGAUCUGGCUGCGACAUCUGUCACCCCAUUGAUUGCCAGGGUUGAUUCGGCUGAUCUGGCUGGCUAGGCGGGUGUCCCCUUCCUCCCUCACCGCUCCAUGUGCGUCCCUCCCGAAGCUGCGCGCUCGGUCGAAGAGAACGGCCUUCCCCGAAUAGAGACGGACCGGUCUUCGGUCGAGGGUAUACGAGUAGCUGCACUCCCCUGCUAGAACCUCCAAACAAGCUCUCAAGGUAGGAAGAAGAAGACAGUCAUGCUAGGUAGUUGUGCAAACCCCAAAAGAACGCUGAAGGCUGGUGAAGGGGUUUAGAGCUUCCUGG